RNAcentral lists this long non-coding RNA (291 nucleotides) under Triticum aestivum (bread wheat). Its description in RNAcentral is "long non-coding RNA (TAES_LNC014097)". The record is from RNAcentral. Lineage: Eukaryota; Viridiplantae; Streptophyta; Magnoliopsida; Poales; Poaceae.
UCUGGUGGAAUGGUAAAGAAUUGGUCAAGCCGGUUUGCGCGGUGAGUAUUGUCCGUUAGAUGUUUUAAGACCUUCGGCGUGAAAUUUUCAUAUUAACUACAUAUAUUGUUUGUGCAGGAUGAGUAUGAGUUGAGGAAGCAAUUUUUUAUUAUACUUGCUAAAACAUCAUGGGAAUGAAACUAAAGGCAACUUUCAUGAUAUUGAUAGUUUUGUAAUAGAUGUUAAGGUCGAACAUCGUUACAUGGACAUGUCGUUAAUCUUUUUUUAUCAAUUUACAUUGCAAAAAUGAAU